This 76-nucleotide transfer RNA is filed under the name Gammaproteobacteria bacterium. RNAcentral describes it as "tRNA-Val". It matches the Rfam family "tRNA". Rfam says of the family: Transfer RNA (tRNA) molecules are approximately 80 nucleotides in length. Their secondary structure includes four short double-helical elements and three loops (D, anti-codon, and T loops). The record is from RNAcentral. Lineage: Bacteria; Pseudomonadati; Pseudomonadota; Gammaproteobacteria.
GGGUGUUUAGCUCAGUUGGGAGAGCGACGGCCCUACAAGCCGUAGGUCGCAGGUUCAAGCCCUGCAACACCCACCA